UAGCAAGGGUAAGCAGUCAAUUGAUAGAUUAAAGGAUAGAGUUCCAAAGUGAUGUUUCUCCUCCAAAAUAAUCACAACCAAGUCUGAUUAAUUCCUCCCAUUAUCUUCACCACAGAAAACCAGUUUUUCACCAACCAAACAUGGCCUACAAGAUAUCCCUCAUGCUUUGUAUACUACUCAUACUGCUAUCAUUCUCACUACUCUUUCCUCCUUCAACCACAAACACUCCUGUAACCGUUAAGAAGAGAAGAGAAGUGGUACAUAGAAAUCUAGGAGGAGGAAAACCAACUCCAUGUCCUGAACAUGAUCCUGCUUGUCAUGCAGGAGGUGGUAAUCCUCCUGUGAAUUAAGUACUGCCCUCAUCCUUCACGCUGUAUAUUGCCAGAAGCUAGGAAAUCGCAUUAACAGGGCACCCGAAUUCAUGAUAACUUGAGAUUUUUUAUUCUUAUGUUUUUCAUAUUUCAAAUCCUGCUUAAAAGGUUUUAUAUAUUUUAAAUAAAUUUAGUAAGUCAAAAUUUUAUAAGAUGUGUAUUUUGAUAUAUUCAUGCAUUUGUAUUAUGUGUCAAACAUUUUAAAUAAAUUUAAUCGUUAUGAGCUUUAGAAA
Molecule: long non-coding RNA, 604 nt
Organism: Gossypium raimondii (Peruvian cotton)
Lineage: Eukaryota; Viridiplantae; Streptophyta; Magnoliopsida; Malvales; Malvaceae
Exons: 2
Source: RefSeq, a predicted model, not a curated record